RNAcentral lists this ribosomal RNA (497 nucleotides) under uncultured bacterium. RNAcentral's name for it is "partial 16S ribosomal RNA". It matches the Rfam family "Bacterial small subunit ribosomal RNA", at positions 28 to 507 of the family's 1533-position model. The record is from RNAcentral.
GAUGAACGCUGGCGGCGUGCCUAAUACAUGCAAGUCGAGCGAACAGACGAGGAGCUUGCUCCUCUGACGUUAGCGGCGGACGGGUGAGUAACACGUGGAUAACCUACCUAUAAGACUGGGAUAACUUCGGGAAACCGGAGCUAAUACCGGAUAAUAUAUUGAACCGCAUGGUUCAAUAGUGAAAGACGGUUUUGCUGUCACUUAUAGAUGGAUCCGCGCCGCAUUAGCUAGUUGGUAAGGUAACGGCUUACCAAGGCGACGAUGCGUAGCCGACCUGAGAGGCGGAUCGGCCACACUAGAACGGAGACACGGUCCAGACUCCUACGGGAGGCAGCAGUAGGGAAUCUUCCGCAAUGGGCGAAAGCCUGACGAAGCAACGCCGCGUGAGUGAUGAAGGUCUUCGGAUCGUAAAACUCUGUUAUUAGGGAAAAACAAAUGUGUAAGUAACUAUGCACGUCUUGACGGUACCUAAUCAGAAAGCCACGGCUAACUACGUG